RNAcentral lists this small nucleolar RNA (77 nucleotides) under Sorghum bicolor (sorghum). RNAcentral's name for it is "snoRNA snoR160". It matches the Rfam family "Small nucleolar RNA R160". From Rfam's summary of the family: snoR160 is a C/D box small nucleolar RNA, which acts as a methylation guide for 25S ribosomal RNA in plants. snoR160 has been alternatively named snoZ270 in rice. The record is from Rfam by way of RNAcentral. Lineage: Eukaryota; Viridiplantae; Streptophyta; Magnoliopsida; Poales; Poaceae.
AGCAAAUGAGGAAGCUAUACCAUCUGAAACUGUGCUGUUGAUAAUUCUUGGAUGGUCUUCAAAGUUCUCUGAUUGCU